RNAcentral lists this long non-coding RNA (234 nucleotides) under Capsicum annuum. RNAcentral's name for it is "long non-coding RNA (CANN_LNC006939)". The record is from RNAcentral. Lineage: Eukaryota; Viridiplantae; Streptophyta; Magnoliopsida; Solanales; Solanaceae.
AAAAUAAGAAGAGUCAAAGCUGGAUGGAUUCUUGUGUAAUAUGCGCUAUGUUAAAUGGCGCAAACCCUUCCACAAAGUUUUUCAAUUGAACAUUUGGGUCCUCAUAUGCUUGACCCCCAUAUAAUCCUUUCAUUUGUAACAUAUGUAGCAUAACGCUAGUCACAUGAAACACACCAUUUCCGUUGGCUGGUGGGAUAUUGAUAGCACUUGUUUGCCGUGCUUCAUUCAAGUAGC